UGGGGAAUAUUGCACAAUGGGCGCAAGCCUGAUGCAGCCAUGCCGCGUGUGUGAAGAAGGCCUUCGGGUUGUAAAGCACUUUCAGCGAGGAGGAAGGUGGUGAACUUAAUACGUCAUCAAUUGACGUUACUCGCAGAAGAAGCACCGGCUAACUCCGUGCCAGCAGCCGCGGUAAUACGGGAGGUGCAAGCGUUAAUCGGAAUUACUGGGCGUAAAGCGCACGCAGGCGGUUUGUUAAGUCAGAUGUGAAAUCCCCGGGCUCAACCUGGGAACUGCAUUUGAAACUGGCAAGCUAGAGUCUCGUAGAGGGGGGUAGAAUUCCAGGUGUAGCGGUGAAAUGCGUAGAGAUCUGGAGGAAUACCGGUGGCGAAGGCGGCCCCCUGGACGAAGACUGACGCUCAGGUGCGAAAAGCGUGGGGAGCAAAACAGGAUUAGAUACCCUGGUAGUCCACGCUGUAAAACGAUGUCGAUUUGGAGGUUGUGCCCUUGAGGCGUGGCUUCCGGAGCUAACGCGUUAAAUCGACCGCCUGGGGGAGUACGGCCGCAAGGUU
This 551-nucleotide ribosomal RNA is filed under the name uncultured bacterium. RNAcentral's name for it is "partial 16S ribosomal RNA". It matches the Rfam family "Bacterial small subunit ribosomal RNA", at positions 355 to 895 of the family's 1533-position model. The record is from RNAcentral.